This 553-nucleotide ribosomal RNA is filed under the name uncultured Gemmatimonas sp. Its description in RNAcentral is "bacterial SSU rRNA". It matches the Rfam family "Bacterial small subunit ribosomal RNA", at positions 120 to 707 of the family's 1533-position model. The record is from RNAcentral. Lineage: Bacteria; Pseudomonadati; Gemmatimonadota; Gemmatimonadia; Gemmatimonadales; Gemmatimonadaceae.
GGGAACGUACCUUUCGGUUCGGAAUAAUUCAGGGAAACUUGGACUAAUACCGGAUACGCCCUUCGGGGGAAAGAUUUAUCGCCGAUAGAUCGGCCCGCGUCUGAUUAGCUAGUUGGUGAGGUAAUGGCUCACCAAGGCGACGAUCAGUAGCUGGUCUGAGAGGAUGAUCAGCCACAUUGGGACUGAGACACGGCCCAAACUCCUACGGGAGGCAGCAGUGGGGAAUAUUGGACAACGGGCGCAAGCCUGAUCCAGCCAUGCCGCGUGAGUGAUGAAGGCCUUAGGGUUGUAAAGCUCUUUUGUCCGGGAAGAUAAUGACUGUACCGGAAGAAUAAGCCCCGGCUAACUUCGUGCCAGCAGCCGCGGUAAUACGAAGGGGGCUAGCGUUGCUCGGAAUCACUGGGCGUAAAGGGCGCGUAGGCGGACUUUUAAGUCGGAGGUGAAAGCCCAGGGCUCAACCCUGGAAUUGCCUUCGAUACUGGAAGUCUUGAGUUCGGAAGAGGUUGGUGGAACUGCGAGUGUAGAGGUGAAAUUCGUAGAUAUUCGCAAGAAC